This 557-nucleotide ribosomal RNA is filed under the name uncultured bacterium. RNAcentral's name for it is "bacterial SSU rRNA". It matches the Rfam family "Bacterial small subunit ribosomal RNA", at positions 102 to 694 of the family's 1533-position model. The record is from RNAcentral.
ACGGGUGAGUAACGCGUGGGAACAUACCCUUUUCUACGGAAUAGCUCUGGGAAACUGGAAUUAAUACCGUAUACGCCCUACGGGGGAAAGAUUUAUCGGGGAAGGAUUGGCCCGCGUUGGAUUCGCUAGUUGGUGGGGUAAAGGCCUACCAAGGCGACGAUCCAUAGCUGGUCUGAGAGGAUGAUCAGCCACAUUGGGACUGAGACACGGCCCAAACUCCUACGGGAGGCAGCAGUGGGGAAUAUUGGACAAUGGGCGCAAGCCUGAUCCAGCCAUGCCGCGUGAGUGAUGAAGGCCUUAGGGUUGUAAAGCUCUUUCACCGAUGAAGAUAAUGACGGUAGUCGGAGAAGAAGCCCCGGCUAACUUCGUGCCAGCAGCCGCGGUAAUACGAAGGGGGCUAGCGUUGUUCGGAAUUACUGGGCGUAAAGCGCACGUAGGCGGAUAUUUAAGUCAGGGGUGAAAUCCCAGAGCUCAACUCUGGAACUGCCUUUGAUACUGGGUAUCUUGAGUAUGGAAGAGGUAAGUGGAAUUGCGAGUGUAGAGGUGAAAUUCGUAGA